GGGAGGAUGCCGGAGUGGUUAACGGGCUGGACUUGAAAUCCAGUAGGCUUUGCCUGCGCAGGUUCGAUCCCUGCUCCUUCCG
Molecule: non-coding RNA, 82 nt
Organism: Tribonema minus
Lineage: Eukaryota; Xanthophyceae; Tribonematales; Tribonemataceae
Source: the annotation of a GenBank genome assembly